RNAcentral lists this ribosomal RNA (206 nucleotides) under uncultured bacterium. RNAcentral describes it as "partial 16S ribosomal RNA". It matches the Rfam family "Bacterial small subunit ribosomal RNA", at positions 568 to 774 of the family's 1533-position model. The record is from RNAcentral.
UGCGUAGGUGGAUAUUUAAGUCAGGGGUGAAAUCCUGGAGCUCAACUCCAGAACUGCCUUUGAUACUGAGUAUCUUGAGUUCGGGAGAGGUAAGUGGAACUGCGAGUGUAGAGGUGAAAUUCGUAGAUAUUCGCAAGAACACCAGUGGCGAAGGCGGCUUACUGGCCCGAUACUGACACUGAGGCACGAAAGCGCGGGAGCAAACA